Molecule: long non-coding RNA, 3649 nt
Organism: Condylura cristata (star-nosed mole)
Lineage: Eukaryota; Metazoa; Chordata; Mammalia; Eulipotyphla; Talpidae
Exons: 4
Source: RefSeq, a predicted model, not a curated record
GUGUAAAAUGGAAUUUCUUGGACCAGAUUGCAAAAUAUUGGGAAUUACAGAGAAGUACUGAGAAUUCCACAUGUGGAGAGAUCUUGGACUUGUUCAGCUUAAUAAGGUCCAGACAAGGCUGGCCUGAAAGUGGGCCUCCGAGUGUCCCGUGCUCCUCACGGCCGCCUGUGCGGGCGCACACCUGGGGUUCAGGAGGCUCCGCAUGUGCAUCCCUUGGGUACGACCAGCUUCUCCCCUUUGUCCUCUUCUGAAGCUGAGGCAAGAACUGGCACUUCGAUGGCUGUCGCCCUGGGUAUCUUCACCUUGCACCAGACACCGUGCCAACUCUGUUCCCGAGCCAUGGCUGGGUGGGGAGGGCAUCAUCUGAUGCAAGAGCCCUCUGAACCCAGGCCCCUUAUACCCACAGCGGUUAUACACCCAGAGACUCAUCUGACCACCCUGGCGCACGUGACUGCACUCUGAGGGGUCAGCGAGGCCGCCUGUGCUCAGGGCCAUGGAGUCGGUGCCUGGAGCAGCCUCAGCCCGCAGCCUGGCAGCUGCUCAGCCAAUUUCUGCCUGGGUUUCCACGGUGCCCUCAAGGUGGACACAUGAGUCCAGGCCAGGCUGGUUCCCUGUGGACCAGUGUCCUCCCUGGCUCUGGCCAACCGCCAACCGCCAACCGCCAGCCUGGCGGCCCCUGCCAGGGGGCAGCGUGCAGCCUGGAUGCUCAGCAGUCCCAGAGCCAGCGCCGCUGAGGCCAGGGACGGCCUCCGCCGCAGCGUGACCCGUUGUUUGCCAAGCGGCGUUUGUGCACGGUGUCAGCCAGGGCGUGGAGCGAUGGGAUUCUCUGAGCCCUGGAAGAUCUGGCCGCCCUGGAGAAGGCGAGGAAGCAGCAAACACCAACAGUGGAGAGUACUGGGGUAUCCUGGCCCCUGCAACGUCCUGUCUCCCCAGUUUUGUGUGUCUCAUUUCUGCCACUGUAACUGCACAAAUACACUGGCGUUGCGCGUGAUCCGCACGUGUGAUGUGACUCCUGCCCAGGAGCGGGCCGCCCUGGCCGCCCCCGCCCUCGCUGGCCUGGGGGCGCGGGCCGGGCUGGGCUCUGCCUGUCCAGCUGCAGGCCGCUCUGACCGAGCCCGGCGCUGCCCAUGGCCUGACUUCACGGCGCUGCCUUUGCUCCCUACCCCAGCCCAGCUCAGGAAAGAUUAACCGGAGCAUCUGGGGAGAUGCGGGGAAAGGGCACCUCCUGGCACAGAGCCCAUCUGCACCUCAGUGCCAGGGGGAGGCCUGCAUGCUGGCCGUCUCCCUUGUGGCCAGUAGAGGGCGGUGGGGCUGAGGCCCCGGGGCUCCCUGCAGCACCCAUCUUUCUUAGGGCUGUGGCUGACCCUUGCGCAGAAGGGCCGAAGGCCGCGGGGACUCUGGACAACAGUCUGUAGUCUGGGGUCGGGUCGUGCUCACAGGAGUUCCUGUGAGCCUUCUAGGGCUUAUCUUUCCUUGAGUGGGGUUGACCUUGUGAUGAGGAACAGAACUACUGUUUAGGGUCCUGCUCUCUAUGGUCACGUAUCGUUUUAAGAGAUUGUGUCAGUAAAAGUAGCUCAGGCUAAACUCCAGGUCCCCUUCAACAGGCCAGGUUGAAAGAGCACUGCCAUGUCCCUGGAAGUCCCCCUAAGCCAGGUGGUUUUCAGAAGUGCUUCCCAAGGUCACACUGGGCCAGGCUUUGCCCUGGUCUUGCUUUUGAGCAGAAACCAGCCCAGCCCCCACAGAGCUUCACGGCCAUGCUCCUGGGCUGGAUCUAUCUGCUUUGACAUUCGGUUCCAGCCUGUGUUUAUGAGGUCUCCGGUGGCUUCAAGCACCAAGGAGCCUUGGGGCUACUGGAAAAGUCAUUGGUGUCGUUUUCAGCUUAGAUGCUGAACAGUUGAUCCCUACUCUGAGGAUCUGGGGGUGGAGUGACGGAAGGCAAGCCGGGUGAUUGGUUUGGGCACUGAAUCCCGCUUCGAGUGCUAUCAGCAUGGCAGAGGCAUGGGCAUUUGCCCAGAUACUCCUGUAGGUGGGCAGUUGGAAUUUCUGGCCUCUCAUUUUUACAUAGAUUAAAGAGUUCCUCUUUUAUCUACUCCUAUGCAUGAGUGACUCACAUAAUGACCAGAAAGGAGUGAGAGUCUGCAGGAUGUUGGCGCUCCUGGGGAACAGAAGCAGCAUCUGUGAGACAGCCCAGCAGGCUUCCCAGAGGGCCCACUCAGUCCCUAUGGGGCCCACUGAGGCUGCAGUGGUCAGUUACAUGAAGUAGCACACAUGGUCCCCCCAGUGCUGCUCAGGGCUUCUGAGCUGCAGAAGCCCUGGGAUCGCCCAGGUGUCACCGCCCAGGGGUCCCCAGCACAUGGGACUUGAAACCCACUUGCCACCUGAGGACAGAUCAAAGGAAGCUGCGAAGCAGUCACCGCACAUUGUAAGGUGAGGCACAGACACGAGAAUAAGCGCCCGCAGCUGGCAGGCGUGUCCAAGGGGCUGGUGACUGAAUGGAUUUUGCCUUCUGACUGGGAGUGGGAAGGGAAAGAUUAAGGGGGCAGUAGAAGCUUUCUGGUGUGGGGAUGAAGGUGCAGCGGGGUGGCGGGAACCAGGUGAGAGCUCCCCUGGAGGGGGUUGUGUGCUCCUGGCCCAAAGGAUAAGUUCCCUGCUGAGGGAAGGACUCUGGCUUGUGAGUUUUUGCAGGCAGGUUCUGAGCAAGCUUGAGGGACUGUGAGGUGAGUAUUUGGACUGCUGAAUGCUGAGUUAAGGGGAGAGACACUAUAGGAAGGCAGUAGUUAAGCUUCAGGUUUGAGCCUUAGCUCAAGGGACAGUGGUCACCAUCCCCUGCACUUUCCUUCCCACCUCACCGGGAGGCCGGCUGGCUCCCCCUUCCUGCACGGGGAGCAGAAAGUUGAAACAAGUUGGUGGCUGAGUUGUGGGUGUCAGCCUGCAUUGGAACCACUUUGCCCCCUUCUGGGGCACCCUGACCCUUGCGAGGAGCAGGUGGUGAUCUGUUGACCCCAACGCAAUCCUGGACUUGAGCACCUUCCCAGAACAAUCUGGUCCGACUGAACUGUGGUCCAAUGUGCAAGUCCCUCAGCCACAGGGAAAGCGCGGGGCCUGCAGGGAGCAUGUGCUUGCUCUCUCCACACCAGAUGUCAGUCUUAGGGGAGGGAGACGGGGCAGCAGAGAAGCCUGGGAAGGUCAUGAACCCCUUCUUAUACUAAGGCCCAUUGGAGACCCGGUCAAGUAAUCUUUCCUCUGGACACUCCUGUAACCUGAGAAAUACGUAGAUCUCCGGCCGAGGACAUGCCCUGUGUCUAUGGGUCGGACGGUGAACCCUAGCUCAGUACAUUAAGGGUUGAGGAUCUAUUGGCACGUUUCUUCCCAUAAAGCUGAUCAGGCUGCCUGUUGGGUUUCUUGGUCAGGGAGGCCCAUCUCCUCUAGGAUGGCCUACUUUUAGGCUGUCAGAAGUGGAGCAGGCAAGUCCCAUGUAGGUUGCAUGUAGCAGCAGUUAGGAAGGAAGGAAGGCGCGGGCCUCCCUGCUGGUGGAAGGGGUUAAGCUGCAGCACAGUGAUGCCAUCUGCAGCACAUUUUGAUUCCAGGGCCAAAGAGCUGACCCACCUGGCACAGCAGACCUCUCCUCUCUUGCCCGCGGCUCCCCUCA